GAAUUUAUAUAUUUAUUUUUAAAUUUAAAGAUUUAAGGUUACGAAUAAGAGUAAAAAAAAAAAACAUUCUUACAUACAAAUCUCGUAUAAAUGAUUAAACGGGAUUAGGAGAAAUAGAGGGAAUGCGAGAUAUAAAAUGAAGUGAAGGGAGGGCAGAAAAUCCAAGGUAGGGGACCUGCAAAACCCAAGAACGCUUUGGCUUUUAUGUAUGGAAUUAACUAUUUGUUACAAAUAGUCUUUGUAUUGACCGAUAAAAAAAAGAAGUGAAGUUUGUUGCCGCUUUUGCUCCUUCCUUAACCUCCUCCUUUACCCCAUAAUAAACUCCAGGGACUUUGUUUUUGCCUUUGCCUUUGCUUCCUUUUUCCUCAGUUUUCUUCUUUAAAUUCCCUUAAUUUCUCAGCUUCCAUGGAAAUACAAGAGAGAAGAACAUCAGAGGUAGCUCUUUCUUUUUCUCGUAAUUCAAGUGCAGUGAAAAGUCAAAAGACAAGAUGGAAAGGCAAGUCCAGGAAAGAGUUGCCAAACCUGACUCGGCAUGAGAGUGACUCAACCCUGAAAUCAAAACCCAUCCAUACCCGAAUUAUUAUGGUUUUAAUUUAGAUCAGGUUAUACUUACUAUAUGAAUGACAGAAAAUAUUCAGUGAUAAAGAAUUUGUACACGUGUUAAUCAUUGGAUAUAUAUUUUUUUAAUAAUCUUUUACAGAGUUUUGAUCGUA
Molecule: long non-coding RNA, 713 nt
Organism: Gossypium arboreum
Lineage: Eukaryota; Viridiplantae; Streptophyta; Magnoliopsida; Malvales; Malvaceae
Exons: 2
Source: RefSeq, a predicted model, not a curated record